This 731-nucleotide ribosomal RNA is filed under the name uncultured Leptotrichia sp. Its description in RNAcentral is "bacterial SSU rRNA". It matches the Rfam family "Bacterial small subunit ribosomal RNA", at positions 28 to 776 of the family's 1533-position model. The record is from RNAcentral. Lineage: Bacteria; Fusobacteriati; Fusobacteriota; Fusobacteriia; Fusobacteriales; Leptotrichiaceae.
GAUGAACGCUGACAGAAUGCUUAACACAUGCAAGUCGAUGGGGAAGCGGUGCUUGCACCGUGAAACCAUGGCGGACGGGUGAGUAACGCGUAAAGAACUUACCGAAUGGACUGGGAUAACAGCUGGAAACGGCUGAUAAGACCGGAUAUUAUGAACUUGUUGCAUAGUGAGUUUAUGAAAAGAGAUGCCAUUUGAGAGCUUUGCGUCCUAUUAGCUAGUUGGUAAGGUAACGGCUUACCAAGGCGAUGAUAGGUAGCCGGCCUGAGAGGGUGGACGGCCACAAGGGGACUGAGAUACGGCCCUUACUCCUACGGGAGGCAGCAGUGGGGAAUAUUGGACAAUGGGGGCAACCCUGAUCCAGCAAUUCUGUGUGCACGAAGAAGGUUUUCGGAUCGUAAAGUGCUUUCAGCAGGGAGGAAGAAAGUGACUGUACCUGCAGAAGAAGCGACGGCUAAAUACGUGCCAGCAGCCGCGGUAAUACGUAUGUCGCGAGCGUUAUCCGGAAUUAUUGGGCAUAAAGGGCAUCUAGGCGGCCAGAUAAGUCCGAGGUGAAAACUGCCGGCUCAACCAGCAGCUUGCCUUGGAAACUACCUGGCUAGAGUAUUGGAGAGGUGGACGGAACUACACGAGUAGAGGUGAAAUUCGUAGAUAUGUGUAGGAAUGCCGAUGAUGAAGAUAGUUCACUGGACGAUAACUGACGCUGAAGUGCGAAAGCUAGGGGAGCGAACAGG